RNAcentral lists this ribosomal RNA (88 nucleotides) under Halomonas sp. KAO. RNAcentral's name for it is "partial 23S ribosomal RNA". It matches the Rfam family "Bacterial large subunit ribosomal RNA", at positions 2838 to 2925 of the family's 2925-position model. The record is from RNAcentral. Lineage: Bacteria; Pseudomonadati; Pseudomonadota; Gammaproteobacteria; Oceanospirillales; Halomonadaceae.
AGCGAGACCAGCUGGUUGAUAGGCCGGAUGUGGAAGCGCUGCAAGGCGUUGAGCUAACCGGUACUAAUGGCCCGUGAGGCUUGACCAU